This 510-nucleotide ribosomal RNA is filed under the name uncultured bacterium. Its description in RNAcentral is "bacterial SSU rRNA". It matches the Rfam family "Bacterial small subunit ribosomal RNA", at positions 30 to 518 of the family's 1533-position model. The record is from RNAcentral.
AUUGAACGCUGGCGGCGUGCUUAACACAUGCAAGUCGAACGCGAAAGGGACUUCGGUCCUGAGUAAAGUGGCGCACGGGUGAGUAACGCGUGGAUAAUCUGCCCUUAUGAUCGGGAUAACAGUUGGAAACGGCUGCUAAUACCGGAUACGCUCAAAAUGAACUUUUUGAGGAAAGAUGGCCUCUGCUUGCAUGCUAUCACGUAAGGAUGGAGUCCGCGUCCCAUUAGCUUGUUGGCGGGGUAACGGCCCACCAAGGCAACGAUGGGUAGCCGAUUUGAGAGGAUGAUCGGCCACACUGGAACUGAAACACGGUCCAGACUCCUACGGGAGGCAGCAGUGGGGAAUAUUGCGCAAUGGGCGAAAGCCUGACGCAGCGACGCCGCGUGAGGGAUGAAAAGGUUUUCGGAUCGUAAACCUCUGUCAGAAGGGAAGAAACUACGUUGUGCUAAUCAGCAGCGUACUGACGGUACCUUCAAAGGAAGCACCGGCUAACUCCGUGCCAGCAGCUGC